UACGUAGGGUGCAAGCGUUGUCCGGAAUUAUUGGGCGUAAAGGGCUCGUAGGCGGUCCAUCGCGUCGGGAGUGAAAAGCUGGGGCUCAACCCCAGUCCUGCUUCCGAUACGGGUGGACUAGAGGUAUGCAGGGGAGAACGGAAUUCCUGGUGUAGCGGUGAAAUGCGCAGAUAUCUGGAGGAACACCGGUGGCGAAGGCGGCAUCCUGGACCGACAUUGACGCUGAGGCGCGAAAGCUAGGGGAGCAAACAGG
RNAcentral lists this ribosomal RNA (253 nucleotides) under uncultured bacterium. RNAcentral's name for it is "partial 16S ribosomal RNA". It matches the Rfam family "Bacterial small subunit ribosomal RNA", at positions 524 to 776 of the family's 1533-position model. The record is from RNAcentral.